UAACAGUUGGAAACGACUGCUAAUACCGCAUAAGCGCACAGGAUCGCAUGAUCCGGUGUGAAAAACUCCGGUGGUAUGAGAUGGACCCGCGUCUGAUUAGCCAGUUGGCAGGGUAACGGCCUACCAAAGCGACGAUCAGUAGCCGACCUGAGAGGGUGACCGGCCACAUUGGGACUGAGACACGGCCCAAACUCCUACGGGAGGCAGCAGUGGGGAAUAUUGCACAAUGGGGGAAACCCUGAUGCAGCGACGCCGCGUGAGCGAAGAAGUAUUUCGGUAUGUAAAGCUCUAUCAGCAGGGAAGAAGAAUGACGGUACCUGACUAAGAAGCACCGGCUAAAUACGUGCCAGCAGCCGCGGUAAUACGUAUGGUGCAAGCGUUAUCCGGAUUUACUGGGUGUAAAGGGAGCGCAGGCGGUGCGGCAAGUCUGAUGUGAAAGCCCGGGGCUCAACCCCGGUACUGCAUUGGAAACUGUCGUACUAGAGUGUCGGAGGGGUAAGUGGAAUUCCUAGUGUAGCGGUGAAAUGCGUAGAUAUUAGGAGGAACACCAGUGGCGAAGGCGGCUUACUGGACGAUAACUGACGCUGAGACUCGAAAGCGUGGGGAGCAAACAGGAUUAGAUACCCUGGUAGUCCACGCCGU
RNAcentral lists this ribosomal RNA (642 nucleotides) under uncultured bacterium. RNAcentral describes it as "bacterial SSU rRNA". It matches the Rfam family "Bacterial small subunit ribosomal RNA", at positions 144 to 803 of the family's 1533-position model. The record is from RNAcentral.